GACGAACGCUGGCGGCGUGCCUAACACAUGUAAGUCGCACGGGACUGGAGGGCAACUUCCAGUUCAGUGGCAGACGGGUGCGUAACACGUGAGGAACCUGUCCGACGGCGGGGGAUAGCCGGCCCAACGGCCGGGUAAUACCGCAUACGAUCGUUCGGGGGCAUCCCUGAACGAGGAAAGCAGCCGCAAGGUUGCGCCGAUGGAGGGUCUCGCGGCCUAUCAGCUAGUUGGCGGGGUAAGGCCCACCAAGGCGACGACGGGUAGCUGGUCUGAGAGGAUGGCAGCCACAUUGGGACUGAGACACGGCCCAGACUCCUACGGGAGGCAGCAGCGGGGAAUCUUGCGCAAUGGCCGCAAGGCUGACGCAGCGACGCCGCGUGUGGGAUGACGGCCU
Molecule: ribosomal RNA, 394 nt
Filed under: uncultured bacterium
Lineage: Bacteria
Description: bacterial SSU rRNA
Rfam family: Bacterial small subunit ribosomal RNA
Source: RNAcentral